UGGCCUUGGGGGGUGCUACACAUGCAGUCGAACGAUGAAGCCGGAGCUUGCUCUGGUGGAUUAGUGGCGAACGGGUGAGUAACACGUGAGCAACCUGCCCUGGACUCUGGGAUAAGCGCUGGAAACGGCGUCUAAUACUGGAUACGAGACGUGGCCGCAUGGUCAACGUUUGGAAAGAUUUUUCGGUCUGGGAUGGGCUCGCGGCCUAUCAGCUUGUUGGUGAGGUAAUGGCUCACCAAGGCGUCGACGGGUAGCCGGCCUGAGAGGGUGACCGGCCACACUGGGACUGAGACACGGCCCAGACUCCUACGGGAGGCAGCAGUGGGGAAUAUUGCACAAUGGGCGGAAGCCUGAUGCAGCAACGCCGCGUGAGGGAUGACGGCCUUCGGGUUGUAAACCUCUUUUAGCAGGGAAGAAGCGAAAGUGACGGUACCUGCAGAAAAAGCGCCGGCUAACUACGUGCCAGCAGCCGCGGUAAUACGUAGGGCGCAAGCGUUAUCCGGAAUUAUUGGGCGUAAAGAGCUCGUAGGCGGUUUGUCGCGUCUGCUGUGAAAUCCCGAGGCUCAACCUCGGGCCUGCAGUGGGUACGGGCAGACUAGAGUGCGGUAGGGGAGAUUGGAAUUCCUGGUGUAGCGGUGGAAUGCGCAGAUAUCAGGAGGAACACCGAUGGCGAAGGCAGAUCUCUGGGCCGUAACUGACGCUGAGGAGCGAAAGGGUGGGGAGCAAACAGGCUUAGAUACCCUGGUAGUCCACCCCGUAAACGUUGGGAACUAGUUGUGGGGUCCUUUCCACGGAUUCCGUGACGCAGCUAACGCAUUAAGUUCCCCGCCUGGGGAGUACGGCCGCAAGGCUAAAACUCAAAGGAAUUGACGGGGACCCGCACAAGCGGCGGAGCAUGCGGAUUAAUUCGAUGCAACGCGAAGAACCUUACCAAGGCUUGACAUACACGAGAACGGGCCAGAAUGGUCAACUCUUUGGACACUCGUGAACAGGUGGUGCA
RNAcentral lists this ribosomal RNA (1000 nucleotides) under Microbacterium sp. HBUM178530. RNAcentral describes it as "bacterial SSU rRNA". It matches the Rfam family "Bacterial small subunit ribosomal RNA", at positions 37 to 1045 of the family's 1533-position model. The record is from RNAcentral. Lineage: Bacteria; Bacillati; Actinomycetota; Actinomycetes; Micrococcales; Microbacteriaceae.